This 2163-nucleotide ribosomal RNA is filed under the name Triticum aestivum (bread wheat). RNAcentral's name for it is "partial small subunit ribosomal RNA". The record is from RNAcentral. Lineage: Eukaryota; Viridiplantae; Streptophyta; Magnoliopsida; Poales; Poaceae.
AUGCAUCGCCGAUCUACCUUCACACCAAGGGACCUGGAGUGCAUGCUACGUAAUGAAACGGCAGAGCCCAAGCCCCUGCCUCUGUCACUUCUGGAAAAAAUCACAAAUGGUUUCUCUGCGGAGCAGGAAAUUGGGAGUGGUGGGUUUGCGGUGGUUUAUAAGGAAAAGCUUGUGAGUACCACUGUGGCCGUGAAGAGGUUGACCAAUACGCUUAUGGAUGAAAAGGAAUUCCACCAAGAAGUUGAAUGUCUCAUGAUGGUGAAACACAAAAAUAUAGUACGGUUUCUGGGAUACUGUGCUGACAGACAAGGGAGUAUGGAAAGGUGCAAUGAAAAAUUCAUCAUGGCUGACGUACACCAAAGGUUGCUCUGCUUCGAGUAUCUUCCUCAUGGGAGCCGUUAUGAGUACAUCACUGAUACAACUCACAGACUUCAGUGGAGAGACCGUUUUCAAAUUAUCACAGGAAUUUGUCAGGGGUUACACCAUCUUCAUCAGAAUAAUAUUGUCCACUUAGAUUUAAAGCCCGCAAAUAUAUUAUUGGAUGCUAAUAUGGUACCAAAAAUUGCUGAUUUCGGUCUAUCAAGGUGCUUUAAAGAAAUGCAAAGCCGAGAUCUUACAAGGAAAGGAGGAACGAUUGGAUAUACGGCACCAGAAUUUUUUGACCGUACUGAAAUCAGAUACCGCCAUUCGUACCGGCUUGAUAUCUAUAGUCUCGGAGUAAUAAUCAUAGAGAUACUCACCGGAAAGAAGGGGUAUCAUGAUGUUGACAAGGUAGUCGAAAGUUGGAGUAAGAUGUUGGACAUAUCACAGAGUGACGUACAGGUGGAACAGGUGAAAAAUGCUUCAAAUGAACUCCAUAAAGAUAUGCCUAAUGCUUCAGGAGAGACAAGCUCUGAGCGGCUUAAUCCGGGCAUGUUGAAGAAUGACAUCAUGCAUGCUAUUUGGUUGAGCUAUCAACAGCUUAAUCCAGACAUCAAGCGAUGCGUCAAAUACUGCAGUAUUUUUCCCAAAAGGUCCAAGUUAAAUAAGGACGAGUUAGUUCACCUGUGGAUAGCGCAAGGGUUUAUAAAGACUAAUUGUGCAACAGAGGACAUGGAAGAUGUAGCUGAGGGCUAUGUUCAAGAGUUAGUGCCAUGCUCAUUUCUGCAACCAGAAGAAGAUGAUUACUCUAUCAAAUACAUUACAAUCCUUGAUCUGCUGCAUGAUUUAUUAGACAAGAUCGUUGGAAGGGGUUACUUCAGAAUCGAGAAUGCAAGGAGUCAGAGAGGAAUAGUCUGGAAAGGAGAUGUUCCCCGAGAUGUUCGCCACCUUUUUGUUCAAAAUUAUGACGGAGAAUUGAUUACGAAGAAGAUCCUUGCAUUGGAAAAUUUACGCACUCUAAUUAUUUAUGUGGUUGAAAAGGAUACACCAGUGGAGGAAAAAGUCAUUGAGAGUAUAUGCAAUAGCCUGCCGAAAUUGCGGGUACUCGCUGUUGCUUUCAGCCGGGAGCAUCAUCCAAUCACACGACCCAGUAAGUUCUCGAUCCCAGAAUCCAUUAGCCAGUUAAAGCACCUAUGCUAUCUUGCUUUCAGGACAUUCAAAUGCACUGUAAUUUUACCAAGUGCGCUAGCUGAACUUCACCAUAUUCAGCUGCUAGAUUUUGGUCAUCAUAGCCAAACUUCUGAAUUUACUACUGAUAACCUUACCAACCUGCGGUACAUAAUGUGCAAGAGUGUGAAAUGUCCUAACAUAGGAAGGUUGAUCUCACUCCAAGCAUUACCAUGCAACACAUUCACAGUAAGGAAUGUACAGGGUUAUGAGAUAAAGCAACUGAGAGACCUAAACGACCUUCGUGGCAAUCUGGUAAUCAAUGGCCUUGAAAAUGUCAAAGGCAAGGAGGAAGCUCUUGAAGCCAAUCUAGGUGCCAAGGAACGGAUCACAGAACUGAUGUUGGAAUGGGAUUAUGAUGAUGAUACAAGGUGCAGUCCAGAAGUUGAAGCAGAGGUACUUGAGGGCCUGUGCCCUCCUGCGAAACUUGAAACACUGAUGAUCGAGGGCUACAAAGGUUCGAGGUACCCAGAAUGGAUGGUGGCCCGACGGACCUGCAAAAUCUUCACUUAUAUAAGUGGAGUCAAUUGGGACCUGGUCCUGAACUUGAGGCUUUCCCUCAUCUUUGUCGGCUAG